AAAAUCAAAAUAUUUCUUCAAAACUCUCUACCUCAGAUAUUUCAUGUUGGAUUCACCAGUUGUCAUAUAGCAUGAUUUCCAAUCUAGAAAUACACUAGAUACCUAACUGUAGAAAAUUUAACUUUGGCUUAUAUAUGAUGUCUUAUCUCCCAAAAUUUCUUUAGCUUAGAAAAAAUCUUAUAUUAUAUUAAAAUCCUUCAAAAUAUUUUCUUUUCGCAAAGGAUGUUUUUACCUUGAACUUUGAAAAUUUAUAUUUCUUGAUCCAAUUGUUCAAUUUUUUUUGAAUUUUUAUUUAAUAUAGAUUCUAUUCUUAAGCUUUACCACAAAACAAAUGAACUAUAAAUCUAUAACCGAUCUUUUGACAUCUUUGAAAUCCUAGUAAAUACUUUAAAUCCUAAUC
Molecule: long non-coding RNA, 400 nt
Filed under: Physcomitrium patens
Lineage: Eukaryota; Viridiplantae; Streptophyta; Bryopsida; Funariales; Funariaceae
Description: long non-coding RNA (PPAT_LNC012754)
Source: RNAcentral